GUGGGGAAUAUUGGACAAUGGGCGAAAGCCUGAUCCAGCCAUGCCGCGUGUGUGAAGAAGGUCUUCGGAUUGUAAAGCACUUUAAGUUGGGAGGAAGGGCAGUAAGUUAAUACCUUGCUGUUUUGACGUUACCGACAGAAUAAGCACCGGCUAACUUCGUGCCAGCAGCCGCGGUAAUACGAAGGGUGCAAGCGUUAAUCGGAAUUACUGGGCGUAAAGCGCGCGUAGGUGGUUUUGUACGUUGGAGGUGAAAUCCCCGGGCUCAACCUGGGAACUGCCUCCAAAACUGCAUGACUAGAGUACGGUAGAGGGUAGUGGAAUUUCCUGGGUAGCGGUGAAAUGCGUAGAUAUAGGAAGGAACACCAGUGGCGAAGGCGACUACCUGGACUGAUACUGACACUGAGGUGCGAAAGCGUGGGGAGCAAACAGGAUUAGAUACCCUUGUAGUCC
This 450-nucleotide ribosomal RNA is filed under the name uncultured bacterium. Its description in RNAcentral is "partial 16S ribosomal RNA". It matches the Rfam family "Bacterial small subunit ribosomal RNA", at positions 354 to 796 of the family's 1533-position model. The record is from RNAcentral.